Carassius auratus (goldfish) is the source of this 1019-nucleotide long non-coding RNA. RefSeq lists it as uncharacterized. The record is from RefSeq and is a predicted model, not a curated record. NCBI's taxonomy places the organism in Eukaryota, Metazoa, Chordata, Actinopteri, Cypriniformes, Cyprinidae. The transcript is spliced from 3 exons.
GUCCCCAAAAGCAAAUUUUGUUAGAUUCAGCUUACUUCCGUGUACCAAGCUGACACAUUUGUCCCCAAAAUAUGGUUAAGUAAAGGAACACACACUUUUAAGGCUUUUUUAUUUUAUUUUACAGAAUUCACAAAAUUAGUUGUCUUAUGUGCCCCAACUUGACAGGGAAAUUACACAAUUGUUGCUCAACCAAGGAUAAUGUCAAAGACAUGAUAAAUACAGAUAUUUACAAAAUAAAAUAUUUUAGGAAAUAUGCUUUAUUUAAUUUUCUAAAUGAUGUUUUAUUUAUUGUUCUAUGUUAUUGUUUAAAUUAUCCAUCGAGUUGGACACCCCUGAUGUAGGCUAAAUGCUUUUAUUAAGAUAUCAUUUAGUUUGCAUGAACUCCUUUCUUACAGUCGACCAUACUGGUUCUUGGAAAACUGAUGGAAAAGAAGGUAGGAGCUGAGUUUUCUGCUUUAUGAGCUUAGUAUUUGGUGACUGAGAUGUAUUUCCUUUUCCUAACAGGUUCGGGAGACACUUAAAAGAAGACUGAGAACCACUAAACGCACUGGAUGUCAUGCUACACAUACUUCAAGCUCUGGAGCCCAUUUUUACGGAAGAAGCAGUUCUUCCAAAAGAAUGACUAUUACAAAUGUUUUCAACACCCUUGUGGGAAGAGGGAGGUAUGCUUGGUCAAAUUCCUCACACAGCUCUGGAGCAUCGCUAACUUUUCUAAAUGCAUCGCAGGACAGACAGGCGCUUUCAUUUCCUGUCAGUAUGUCUUUGUAAUGCUGGGUCCACUUCCACACGCACAACUUCAUACUGAAAAAAUUCUGUUUGAUUUCUGUUUUCCCAAAUGCUUGACUAUAACUUGAAUAUUCAGUACUUUUUUUUAUUAAUGAUCCAGAGUGACAAAUUUACAAUAAAACACUGGUUUGUACCAAAUUAUGAAAACAAAAAUCACAUUCUGGUUUCUUUCUGAACACUGUUUAGUGUACCAACUACUUUUGCCUUUCUCUAUUAAAUCCAUAAAUGAAAAA